Molecule: ribosomal RNA, 492 nt
Filed under: uncultured bacterium
Lineage: Bacteria
Description: partial 16S ribosomal RNA
Rfam family: Bacterial small subunit ribosomal RNA
Source: RNAcentral
UAGGGAAUCUUCCACAAUGGACGAAAGUCUGAUGGAGCAACGCCGCGUGAGUGAUGAAGGGUUUCGGCUCGUAAAACUCUGUUGUUGGAGAAGAACAGGUGAUAGAGUAACUGUUAUCAUCUUGACGGUAUCCAACCAGAAAGCCACGGCUAACUACGUGCCAGCAGCCGCGGUAAUACGUAGGUGGCAAGCGUUGUCCGGAUUUAUUGGGCGUAAAGCGAGCGCAGGCGGUUUUUUAGGUCUGAUGUGAAAGCCUUCGGCUUAACCGGAGAAGGGCAUCGGAAACCGGGAGACUUGAGUGCAGAAGAGGACAGUGGAACUCCAUGUGUAGCGGUGAAAUGCGUAGAUAUAUGGAAGAACACCAGUGGCGAAGGCGGCUGUCUGGUCUGUAACUGACGCUGAGGCUCGAAAGCAUGGGUAGCGAACAGGAUUAGAUACCCUGGUAGUCCAUGCCGUAAACGAUGAGUGCUAAGUGUUGGAGGGUUUUCCGCC